CACGGAGUAGUGGUUACGCCCUUGGCUUUUGGAAUCAGAUUUCUGGGCCUACUUCUGGGUACUGCCACUUAACCAACCGUGUGACCUUGGGUGAUGUCUGUGCUUGGACAGUCUGGUGACUUCUGCAUAGACCCCAGGCAGCCUCUGGUCAUCCCAGACCCUCUGCAGGGAGGGAGGAGCGACAGCUUUCCGUGUUGCUCCCUAUGGCUUCCAAAGGCGGCGGCAUUUCUGAGCGAGCAGGAACGCUGGCCCGCUGCUCCCUGCUUCUGAAACUAAUUGGGAGUUGAUUCUGAUGAAUAAAUGUGCUGCUGCCGCCGGAGGAAUUGACCGCGCCGGCAGAUGGCUGGAGCAUGAGAAACACUCUGUCGUGGCCUUCUAAGGGGCCCAUCAAUAAUAGAUCGGCUCCAGCCCUCGGAGAGGGAAGCAUUUCUG
Long non-coding RNA from Mustela erminea (ermine), 432 nucleotides. RefSeq lists it as uncharacterized. The transcript has 3 exons. The record is from RefSeq and is a predicted model, not a curated record. NCBI's taxonomy places the organism in Eukaryota, Metazoa, Chordata, Mammalia, Carnivora, Mustelidae.